CCUACGGGGUGCAGCAGUGAGGAAUAUUGGUCAAUGGGCGCGAGCCUGAACCAGCCAAGUAGCGUGAAGGAUGACUGCCCUACGGGUUGUAAACUUCUUUUAUAAAGGAAUCACGUGAGGCACGUGUGCCUUUUUUUAUGUACUUUAUGAAUAAGGAUCGGCUACCUCCGUUCCAGCAGCCGCGGGUAUACGGAGGAUCCGAGCGUUAUCCGGAUUUAUUGGGUUUAAAGGGAGCGUAGAUGGGUUGUUAAGUCAGUUGUGAAAGUUUGCGGCUCAACCGUAGAAUUGCAAUUGAUACUGGCAGCCUUGAGUACAGUUGAGGUAGGCGGAAUUCGUGGUGUAGCGGUGAAAUGCUUAGAUAUCACGAAGAACUCCGAUUGCGAAGGCAGCCUACUAAACUGCCACUGACAUUGAUGCUCGAAAGUGUGGGUAUCAAACAGGAUUAGAUACCCCAGUAGUC
Molecule: ribosomal RNA, 460 nt
Filed under: uncultured bacterium
Lineage: Bacteria
Description: partial 16S ribosomal RNA
Rfam family: Bacterial small subunit ribosomal RNA
Source: RNAcentral